This 145-nucleotide ribosomal RNA is filed under the name uncultured bacterium. Its description in RNAcentral is "partial 16S ribosomal RNA". It matches the Rfam family "Bacterial small subunit ribosomal RNA", at positions 971 to 1115 of the family's 1533-position model. The record is from RNAcentral.
UUACCUGGGUUUGACAUGGAGAGUAAUCCGGCAGAGAUGUCGGGUCAUUUAGUUGGCUCUCACACAGGUGGUGCAUGGCCGUCGUCAGCUCGUGUCGUGAGAUGUUGGGUUAAGUCCCGCAACGAGCGCAACCCUCGUUCGAUGU